Molecule: ribosomal RNA, 301 nt
Filed under: uncultured bacterium
Lineage: Bacteria
Description: partial 16S ribosomal RNA
Rfam family: Bacterial small subunit ribosomal RNA
Source: RNAcentral
CAGUCGCCGCGGUAAUGCGUAGGUGGCAAGCGUUGUCCGGAAUUAUUGGGCGCAAAGCGCGCGCAGGUGGUUUAAUAAGUCUGAUGUGAAAGCCCACGGCUCAACCGUGGAGUGUCAUUGGAAACUGUUAAACUUGAGUGCAGGAGAGAAAAGUGGAAUUCCUAGUGUAGCGGUGAAAUGCGUAGAGAUUAGGAGGAACACCAGUGGCGAAGGCGGCUUUUUGGCCUGUAACUGACACUGAGGCGCGAAAGCGUGGGGAGCAAACAGGAUUAGAUACCCGGGUAGUCCCUGUCUCUUAUAC